Long non-coding RNA from Magnolia sinica, 461 nucleotides. RefSeq lists it as uncharacterized. NCBI's taxonomy places the organism in Eukaryota, Viridiplantae, Streptophyta, Magnoliopsida, Magnoliales, Magnoliaceae. The transcript is spliced from 4 exons. The record is from RefSeq and is a predicted model, not a curated record.
AUAGAUGGUACCAUUUACACAAUAUGGCUGUGGUCGCUGUUGGAGAUUUUACUGAUACACAGUGUAGUUGAAUUGACAAGGACUCGCUUUGGGGGAAAAGUUUCAAUCUCCACCCCGCCACUUAUACCAGAAUUUCCUGUUCCAUCUCAUGGUGAACCACGCUUUUCAUCUUUUGUUGAAUCUGAAGCUGGUGGGGUACAAAUUGAAAGAUCCAUUGAUUUAAGAUCCUAGAUGGAUUUCUUGUUCUCAACCAGCUUCUACAAGCGUGCAGCAACUUGUGUACAGUUGCACUAGCAUGGUAUGUCUUGCCACUUCUACAAGUGUGCGGCAACUUGCAGAUUGUAUGCUCAGAGGCCAUUUUUACUUGAUUUAUACCAAAACCAAAUUGCAAGCAUCGACAGAGAACAUAAGAAACUGUUACGAAUGAAUUUAGCAAACUUAUAACAGAAUUAUUUUAUACA